AUACUUACCUGGCAGGGGAGAUACCAUGAUCACAAAGGUGGUUUUCCUGGGGCUAGGCUUAUCCAUUUGCACUGCGGAUGUGCUGACUCCUGAGAUUUCCCCAAAUGUAGGAAACUCGACUUCAUAAUUUGUGGUAGUGGGGGACUGUGUUCGCGCUUUCCCCUG
Molecule: small nuclear RNA, 165 nt
Organism: Otolemur garnettii (small-eared galago)
Lineage: Eukaryota; Metazoa; Chordata; Mammalia; Primates; Galagidae
Gene: U1
Rfam family: U1 spliceosomal RNA
About the family: U1 is a small nuclear RNA (snRNA) component of the spliceosome (involved in pre-mRNA splicing). Its 5' end forms complementary base pairs with the 5' splice junction, thus defining the 5' donor site of an intron.
Source: Ensembl